ACGGGUGAGUAACACGUGAGCAACCUGGCUCUAANAGGGGGACAACAGUUGGAAACGACUGCUAAUACCGCAUAACGUAUCGGGAUGGCAUCUUCCUGAUACCAAAGAUUUUAUCGCUUAGAGAUGGGCUCGCGUCUGAUUAGAUAGUUGGCGGGGUAACGGCCCACCAAGUCGACGAUCAGUAGCCGGACUGAGAGGUUGAACGGCCACAUUGGGACUGAGACACGGCCCAGACUCCUACGGGAGGCAGCAUG
This 254-nucleotide ribosomal RNA is filed under the name uncultured bacterium. Its description in RNAcentral is "partial 16S ribosomal RNA". It matches the Rfam family "Bacterial small subunit ribosomal RNA", at positions 102 to 353 of the family's 1533-position model. The record is from RNAcentral.